This 1342-nucleotide unclassified non-coding RNA is filed under the name uncultured Neocallimastigales. Its description in RNAcentral is "partial contains internal transcribed spacer 1, 5.8S ribosomal RNA, internal transcribed spacer 2, and large subunit ribosomal RNA". The stretch from base 597 to 1342 matches the Rfam family "Eukaryotic large subunit ribosomal RNA", at positions 1 to 628 of the family's 3401-position model. Lineage: Eukaryota; Fungi; Neocallimastigomycota; Neocallimastigomycetes; Neocallimastigales. The record is from RNAcentral.
UUUCGUAGGUAACCUGCGAAGGAUCAUUAAUAAAUGGUCUACGUUUUUUAAGUAGACGCUUAAUAAUCCCCUUUGUGAAUUUGUUUGAUUGAAUAUUUUUUUUUAAAAUUAUUGAAUGUCUUUCCUGUUGAAUUGGUUUGUCUUAAUGGCAAAUGAUUCGCAGGGAGUGUCAGUAAUUUUUAAAAAAGACUUUUUUAAAUUAACUUUUUGUAUCAUUUGUCUAAAUUAUUUUAUAAUAUAAAACAACUUUUGACAAUGGAUCUCUUGGUUCUCGCAACGAUGAAGAACGCAGCAAAAUGCGAUAAGUAGUGUGAAUUGCGAAUACGUGAAUCAUCGAAUCUUCGAACGCAUAUUGCACUUUUUAGUUUACUAAAAAGUAUGUCUGUUUGAGUAUCAGUAAAUAUUCUCAUAAAACUUUUUGUUUUUAUGGUUAUGAUGUUUUACAACGAUACAAGUUGUUUCACUUAAAUUUUUUUAAAAUUUGAAUUUUUCUAAUUUUAAAUAAAUUGGAUAAAUUUUCCGUAAAAAAGGAAUAACCUAAACAUUUAAUUUUUGAUUAGAAUUCUCAAUUAUAAAGGAAAUUUAACUAAAUAACUUGAUCUCAAUCAGAUAAGAGUACCGCUGAACUUAAGCAUAUCAAUAAGCGGAGGAAAGAAACUAACAAGGAUUCCUUAGUAACGGCGAGUGAAGCGGAAGAGCUCAAAUUUGAAAUCUUCAAGGUUUUACUUGACGAAUUGUAGUUUAAAAAGUGUUUUCUGUUGAAGUUUGGUAAAAGUUCUUUGGAAUAGGACAUCAUAGAGGGUGAGAAUCCGUAUUUGACCAUUAUUUCAGCUGUGUGAUACACUUUCAAAGAGUCGGAUUGUUUGGGAAUGCAGUCAAAAUGGGUGUAAAUUUCAUCUAAAGCUAAUAUUGGCGAGACCGAUAGCGAACAAGUACCGUGAGGAAAGAUGAAAAAACUUUGAAAAAGAGAGUUAAACAGUACGUGAAAUUGUCAAAAGGAAGCGUUUGACACCAGUGUUGUUUUCUCGAAAAUCAAUUAAAAAGAGUUGAUUUUGUGUUGUAUUGACCUUAACAGCUUGCUUCACUCUUUUCUUGCUUUUUUAAUGCACUUUUCGUUUAGCAAGUCAACAUCAUUUCUUUUGUUGUAAAAGGUCAUUGGAAGGUGGCUUCUCUUCGGAGAAGUGUUUAUAGCCUUUGAUCUCUGCAAUCGGAGAGACUGAGGUCUGCAGCGUAGAUCUUCGGGUUAGAUACAUUUGUGCUAAGCUACAGCUUUUCAUAGACAACGUGUUGACUAUGUUAGUCUUGUAACUUACCGCUUAUGCUAUUUUACUACGCUUAGAUG